Molecule: ribosomal RNA, 493 nt
Filed under: uncultured bacterium
Lineage: Bacteria
Description: bacterial LSU rRNA
Rfam family: Bacterial large subunit ribosomal RNA
Source: RNAcentral
UCAAACUCUGAAUGGCAGUGACAACGACCCUGGCACACAGGCUGCGAGAGCUAAGUUCCGUAAGCCAAAAGGGAAACGAGCCCAGACCGCCAGCUAAGGUCCCCCAAAUAUACACUAAGUGGAGAAGGAUGUGGGGGCACACAGACAGCCAGGAGGUUGGCUUAGAAGCAGCCAUCCUUUAAAGAAAGCGUAAUAGCUCACUGGUCAAGUGAACCUGCGCCGAAAAUGUAACGGGGCUCAAGUGUAUUACCGAAGCUUGCGGAUGGCACUCAGGACUGCGGUCCUGAGGUCGUGGUAGGCGAGCAUUCCAUGGGCGGCGAAGUCCGACGGGAACGACGGAUGGAGCGCAUGGAAGAGCUUAUGCAGGCUUGAGUAGCGAUAAAACAGGUGAAAACCUGUUCGCCGUAAGCCCAAGGGUUCCUGGGUCAAGUUCAUCUUCCCAGGGUUAGUCGGUCCCCUAAGGCGAGGCCGAAAGGCGUAGCUGAUGGGAAGC